CGUUUUUAGCCUACCUACCAAUUCUCUGCGUUUCAGUUUCAUUUUGAACGUUGUACGCCGAGAACCUACAGGUGCCGACGAUCUUGCUUCCGUUAGCCUAGGCUUCUUCAACGUGAAGCCACAAGAACGCGUGUGAAUACAAGAUUGAAUCUUGAACAAAAUAAUAAAAUCACAAUAAUCGCAAGACCGAAAGCAAUGCGAAUGAAAAGUUAAAUGGUUUUUAAACCGAAAAUACACAAAAACCGCGAGAUUUAUCGUCCAAAUAAAAUGAUGCUGCUUACGAAACUGAUAAUCUAAUAAAUAAAAAAUUGCCCCACAAUUUUAGGAAACCAAACCAAAAAUCGAUAAUUCUUAAAGAAAAAAAGAUUAAUUAUAGAGGCUCAAGAAUAAUAUAUUGUAAUACAUGACGUGCAAAUAUCUAUUGUCAACAUCAAUCAUGUCACCUAGACCAAUAUGGAGUUGGUGUCCACCAAUGAAUAUCCUUCGAAAAAACCAUUUAUUAAAACUAUCAGGGCUUUGUGACUUAAUACCAUUCUUUGUAAUCUUUUUUUUGGCUCAACCUUGUUUAACGGAGGCGCAAAUUGAUAGCACAGUGAGUGAACAGGAAACCAAAUCUGUUACCCUUCCAUGUCCCGUUAAUGAAGGAAAAUGUGGAAAACUACAUUCAUUAAACUGGUUCAAAGGAGAAGACCGUAUUGCUGCAAUGCUCUUGGGGGAAACAAAUGUUACGAAUGUAAAUAAGGAAUACAAGAACAGGGUAACUGUUGAGCUAAAUCCAUACAGACUUAUAAUUAACGACUUAAAAAUUGGAGAUGAAGAUAUUUAUCUUUGUGAUACAACAUUUUUUAUACCAGAAGAAACAUGCGAUAACUUCAAUGGGUACCGAAUUGAACUACGAGUAUUAGUGCCACCAUCGGAAGUUAUAAUUUUGGAUGUGAAGGGCGACCGAAUUGAAAAUGGAAGUGUAGUGGGUCCAAUGCAAGAGCGUCAGUCUCUCAAAGCAGCUUGUACUGUAAAAAAUACACGUCCUCAGCCAGAUGUGGGAUGGUUUCGUGGAUCCAAGCGACUGACAACAUAUUCACCUACGCAUGACAUUAAAGAUGGUCUUUUUACGUCAACACUAGAAUUGGAUUGGUUAUUAUCACGUGAAGAUCUGGCUCAAGAUAUAGAAUGCCGUGUAAAGUCGGCAGCUAUGCCAGAAACUAUUGUUCAAAAAUUUAGUAUAAACUUGCAAGUGCGGCCAACGAGUAUUGAAAUGAAUGGUGUAGAGCAUCAUACGGUUCAAGGCAGCAAAGUGAUUUUAACUUGUGAUAUUCACGGAGCGCGGCCACCAGUUAACCUUACUUGGUAUAACAUUACAUCACCCAUAGCAACAGAGGAAAAUAUUGUUACCGAGAUUCGUACUAGAGCAUUUGAGAAAAACGAUGGUACAUAUCAUACUCAGUCUGAACUCAUUUUUAAUGCGACUCGUUUUGAGAAUGACCGAGUAUUUCGCUGUGAGGCUGAAAAUAUAGUGAUACAAAUUAAUCGAGAAAAGCCAAUCUCUUCCGCGCUCACAUUGGAAGUCUUAUAUCCUCCAGUUGUCAAAGUCAGCCCACCUGAGGUGGUUACCAAUACAAGUGAAAUCGUUUUACUUAAUUGUGAAUAUGUGGCAAACCCAGCGUCACUAACAAAUGUUGUAUGGUAUCGGAACAAUGAAGUCGUGAAUGUCAAUAAUACAGAUCGUUAUCAGGGGGGUAAUUCAGAGAAUGUGGCUCUCGUUAUCAAGUCUACCGAAAAAGAUGAUACAGGAAAUUAUUCGUGUCAGUUAUCAAAUUCUAUUGGAAAAGGAACUUCUGAGCAGGAAAUCAAUCUGGAUGUGCAGUAUGUUCCUACUGUGGAGGUUGUAAUGAUUCCCGAGGGCCCUGUAAAAGAAAGCGACGAGUCAAAUGUUACCCUGUUCUGUAAUAUACUGGAUGCUAACCCAUCAAUUCUAACCAAAGUGAGAUGGUACGCAAACUCAACACUACUUAAGGAACUUCCCGACUGCGAAGAAACUAAUGAAGACCUUUGCCAUAUUGAUCCAAGUAAACUAUUAUUGGAGAGUAUAGGACGCGGCUUUUUCUACAAUUAUUCUUGCGAGGGAUUGAAUUCUGCUGGCUGGGGACCACGAAGUGAAGAUAAGGAGCUUAUAGUACAUUAUGAACCAGGACCGGCUACACUUUCUAAUUUUCCCUUAAUCGCUGUAAAAAAAAAAAGCGUAGUAUUCACUUGUUCCGUAGAAGAUCCUGGAUAUCCAGACACAAAUAGGUUUGUAACUAAACAAGCCGAUCAGAAUAACAAUAAAAAGACAAUAUCAUACCCCAUACUUAUUACUUACCACACAGUUAAAGCAUUGCAAUCUAAUGAAGCUGACAUUGCUUUAGAAUCUUUUCUUUUGCAAAAAAUACCGCGACAAUUAAAUGCACCAUCGGAAGACUUAUCACAAACGUUGCUAUCGAGUGAAUCCAGUCCAUUCAAUGAAAUUAAAGAAACACAUGCUUUAAUUGACUUGAAUUAUAAUAAUUCCCCAUGUACAUUACUCACGCUCACUACAUACAUGAAAAAAUCACAACUAGUAGUCCUUUACACGGGACUACAAUCAAAUCUUGUAUCAUCCACCUACGCCCUCUAUCGUAAAAUGGGAAAGUUUAAAUUCAAUGCUCAAAUGAUUUCAAAACCUAACAGAUAUCGUUGGCUACGCGGAGGACGCGGUCCGCUGCAGGACAUUGUUACAAAAGAUUGGACGGUGGAACCAGUAGGACUUGACAGUCGUACCAACUAUUCUUGCUAUGCUUACAAUGAAGGCGGUAAGGGAAUUAUGGCCACAGUUAAUCUAAAGGUGCACGCACCACCAUUUUUUAUCAAAAACUUACCGCCAUACACUGGAAUCUUGCAUUCUUCACCGAGUGCAAAUUUAACCUGCCGAAUCGAAUGUGUUCCACGAUGUGAAAUAUCAUGGCUUAAGGAUGGCAUCCCCAUUGAGAAAAAUAACACUAAAUACUUCGUAAAAGAAAAAUACAUGGAUCCAUCGCCGGCAACUGGAGAUUUUGAAAGCAUGUUAUCCGUGUUGCAUUUUAACAUGUCCAAUUGGAUACAAAAGAAAUUUGAUAUUGAGGCCGACAAUGAUAACUAUACAUGCCUAUCAACUUCAAAUUCGGUGGGCCCGAGCGUUAAGAGCACCACAUACUUUAGUAUCGAAUAUUCACCAAUCAAUACGACCGUUUCGGAAGAAAAUGUCUAUGUAGAAGAGGGUACUAUACCGGCACGGAUUUUAUGCAAAGCCAGAGCUAAUCCAGAACCUUCAUAUAAAUGGAUAUUUAAAAAUGAAACAAUAGCUAAUGGUAAUACCCUAAUUUUCGACUCUGGUUUACACCGAAACGAAAAUGGUAUAUAUACCUGUAUGGCGUAUAACAAACAUGGAAAUAAUACUGCAAACUCAAUUAUAAACGUGCAGUUUAAACCUGAUUGUGCCAUCAAAAGGGAAAAUAUAGAUGGUCAGGACACUCUAAUUUGUACUGCAUUUGGAAACCCUUUAGAGGCAGAUUUAACUUGGUCAAUUAAAGGUGAAAACGAAACCAUUGAGAAUUUGGGUAGUGGGUACCGCAACGAUCUUUCCGAUAAGAGUUUUUAUGUUUUGAAAGCGGAUUAUGGUAUCACAAGGACGUUCAGAUGUGUAGCCAAUAACACAGUUGGAUCAGGAACAUUUUGUGAAAUUGAAGUCGAUGUGAGACCUAAAAAGCAACUGGCUUGGUGGCAACAAUGGAAAAUAAACAAUAUUGUUCUACUUUUAACUGGAAUUUUAAUUUUAUUACUAAUUGUGGUAAUAAUUUGUUGCAUCAUUAUUUGUGUAUGCCGUCGUCGGCGUCGCCAGGAUAAAUAUCUUUCGGAGGUCUCAAUAAGCGGUAACCAAAGUGUACUGACUUGCAAGUCGGGUUUUGCGCAACUGCAUGACACUUUACCCGCAAUAAAUACUACUGCAGGCAUACCUAACCCUAAGUCAAUUCAUAAAGAAUGGAAAAAUCGUCAAAACCCAACAGGUAUAAGUAAUAUUUGUGAAUCUGAAUCUAUGUAUCCCGACACAAAUGCACAUAAGUCGCCCCCACGUUGGCCACUUCGACCUGGUGUUAUGCUUCACGUAAACAAUGAGACCAAAGAAAAUCUAGUCGUAAAUAGAACGACAAUCAAACAGGAUUCUAUUAAGAACGAUGAGUUUGGAAAUAUUACUGCUAAAUUGAAUAACAUGUUAGUUGCACCACAGACUGAAAGUUUUAACAACAAUUUUCUCUCAAAAAUGUUUUUAUGGUCAAAAAAAAAGGUUCCAACUGAACUAAAUCAAAAUGUUCCAUCAAAAUACGAAAAUGUAACAUCUACCGAUACAGGCGUAUCAUCGAUCUACGUUGAUAAUAUAGAUACCGAAGUAACUUCUUCAUCAUCAUAUUCUGAUAACAUACUUGAACGUCUAAUUUCCUAUAUUAAAAGAGCCAAAAGGCCUUCCCAAAUUUAUUCUCAGGAUAGUCAGCGUAGCCAAGUUUGUCUCUUGCGGACAAUUUGGCGGCGGCGUUUUUAUAAUGAGACCAAUUGCAAGUUUAGAGAUCAUCAUCGCCUUAAGGGUAUUCGUUGCAGUGGCAGUGUCACUUAUAAAAAAAAAAAAGAAUGUACGGAUUUAAGUAACAACUUCGCACACGAAGAAGCUUCAGUUAAAUCUAAUUCAAUGCGAACGACCCUACUUAUGAGCUUUAAGGAUAAAACGAAAUCUGAAGCAACUGCUAUAUCUGAAAAAGGAUUACUUUCGAUUGGAGCUCCUAGCCUACAGUUGUUUACAAAUGUCUCGCAACCAAUUGCAUUUGAGAAUAUUAGUUCCGCCUUUUUGAACGGUGCCGGUACUUAUAUCUCCUCGAUGGACCAUACCUUUAGCUUGACACCAACGAAAACAAAUACAAAAUUACACGACAAAUCAUCUUCUAUGGGAGAACCAUUGACGGAACCUUGCGAGUAUGAGAAUCUUCCGUUCCAUGGUCUGCAAACAGCGCCAAACAAGUCGUAUAACACUCCUAAGAGUUUUAAUAACAACGUUAAUGUGAUACACGGCGGCUUGCGAUCGAAAAAACUCAAUGAGGAUUAUAACAAAGCUAUUGACGGCGAUCCGCAAGUUGUUUUACACAACUCUUUAGAUAAAAAAAUUCUGCUAAGACAACCGAUAAAGCAUCCAAUGUUUUCUAUGGAAUAUUUAUCAUCUAAAGUUCCCCAUCAAGAGAAAAGUUCUAAUAGGCUAAAUAACUCUCAAAAAGCUAACUUAACCUUACAAACCUGUUUUCCCAAGAUAAAUCCAAAUACCAAGAAAAACCCUUAUCAUCUAGAAUUGGAUAAUACCUUAGAUGUUAUAACACAAAAAUUAAACAAAAAAUCAACCAAACAUGAUUUAUCAUUUGGUAACGCGCAUGAUAAUCACCCCACUGAUGUGGAAAAAGAAUCACUCGAAAUUUCAAUUUCUGGCAGUAAUCGAUUUUAUGCUGCCAAUACCGUCCAUAAAUACAAUAAAGGUAUGCAAAAUAUUCAAGAAAAAACUAUGGAAAAAGAGUUCCAGUUGCUAAAAUCUGCUGAAGAAACUAAUUUUAAAACAAAACAUUUCGUGAAUUCCACGGCGUGUUUGACUACAUCUCCUUCUGUUGAAGGCCUUUGCAUUUCACCUAGAUGCCAACAGCAAUACCCUUUUAUGAACAAUAGGAAUGGCAAUAGCGAUACACAUUGCGGAUUUUUAGAUGAGAACCGGUCAAAGAAUUCUGAUGAAUGCGUGAGAAGCAUAGGAAGAGAAUGUAAAUCUAAAAAAUACCUGGCUACUGCACAAAUGCAUUCGUUUUCAACUAAAGAAACACAAAAAAAAAUUCACAGGAAUUUAAAUCACAAAAUUAAAAGGUGCGCAGUAGAAACUGAUACAAACCUUCAGUCCAUUGAACAGGCAAGAUACAGAAUUAACCGAAGUGACUCAGGAAUAUCCAACAGUUCACAAGAAUCUCAAAUGCCAACUUUAUCUCCAUUGGGUCGAAGCAAAUAUACAAAAAUUAAACUUGUUAAUUCGCCUUCAAUCUAUAAUAAUAAAAAGAUUGUUCAUAAGCUGGAAUGUGGGAAAAAUGAUCAGCAAAACUGCUUUAUUGAAAUGGAUUCAUCAUGUUUUGGGAAUAUAGGCUUGGACUCUAUUUCUUCACCAGUAAAAAAUAAUUCUAAAUCGUUUUCGAUUUUUGCAUUAAAACAAAGUGACGGCUCUUCUAAAAAGGUUGUUAGGUUAGAUAAACAAUUCCAGCAAAAAAUAAAUACUGAUCAUAGUGCUACACCUAUUAUUCAAUGUUUGGAACGAACGAAAAUAGUCCACCCAAUCGAUCAGUCGAAUUGCAAAAUUUCAGAAAAUCUUCUGGAAUCACGGCAACGCAAAAAUUCAAUUCCAGACCAAUACGAGCUUUUACAAUUGCGAAAAAUUAUUGGAAACAAUGACGUCUGUGUCCGCAAAAAAUUUAAAAGGAAAUACAGAAGACUUACCAUUAGUGAUCCAUAUACACUAACACAAUUAAGAAAAUUGAAAGCAUCGUCGAAUAAAUUCAGAAACACUGAUAACUCUUUAAUCAAUAUUAGCAGUAAGUUCAACAAAAUCACUAAAAAAGAUUACUGUAAAAGCAAAUUACCCCUCGGAAGACUUCAACGCAAUAUCACAAGUCCUUUCUUAUUCAUAGACAAUUUACAGUCGAUUCCGACUAUUUCUAUAACAAACGAUAUAGAAGACCAAAAUCGUGAUGGGACUUAUGAUUGCAUGGUGGUUCGGCGGCCAAUACGUUUACCAUUGCGUAAGCAUCAUACUUUUCACUUCCAGAAUGUGGAAACUGCGAAUGGAAAACUACAAGAGUUAAGAAAAAAAUUGUAUCACAACCGACAAAAAAUGAUAGAAAAACACGUCCACGGUCCGCUGAUAAAUCUACCGAUGACAUUAAAUGAAAGUAAUGGAUUUAUGCCAAUUUCACCAACUCAAGCUGAAGCCACAGAAACCCAUAUUUCGCAACAAAAAAACUGAAUACCUGUUACUUAAAAAAAAAAAAAAAUCAAAAAAUAUUAAUUUUUGUGCGUUAAUAUAAUUAUAAAAACAACUAAUGUGGUUUGCAGCCUUUACAUUUUACAUAAUAAAUAACAUAAAAAAUAAGUAUAUUAACACUCACGCACAAGAAUUCUUGGUCACUGAAUAAUUUAAACAAAUACAUCUAAAACUUAUCUUUAUUCUAAUCUUAAAAAUGACUGGCCUUUAAUUAUUAAUUUUUUCAAUGCAUGUAAAAUGAAUUUUCCUUAAAGCAAUAUUCUUUUAUUUUAUUUUUAAAACAUAAACCUCUAAUGCAGCUUCUGAAGUAUAUAGGUAUUCAUAUAUGUUAGCAAUAAGAAAGUAUUUAAAAGAAUGAUAGGUAUAUGUAAAUAGAAAAUGUAAUACUACAUGGAUAAUUUUUAAACAGGAAACUUCUUAAGUACUACAAGCGUAUUUUUUUUAAAAUAAAUUCUGAAAGGUAAAAAAAAAUGUCAUUCUCAGAUUAAAAUCCUUAACAAACAACUUUUCAAUUAGAAAUUAAAAAAGUUUCUGAACUUAUAAGAUCUUAGUUAUUAAACAAGGUAUUCGGUGAGUUUGUACUCUGGCAUUUUUGUUGUAUCAUUUCCGACUCAAUAUAAUAUAUGUACAUAUUCUUGAUUAGCAUCAACAGUCGAGUCGAUAUAGCAUUGUUCGUUAUGCGUCCGCGCUUCCGUCUGUCUAUGUAUCUCUAUCUAUGUCUAUCUGUCUAUCUAUGUGAACAUAAGAAUAUAUUAAUACAUAUAUUUUACAAUGUAUGCACACUUUAAAAAACGGAAUGACUGCAAGACUAAGAUAUGGGGAAAGAAAGUCUCUAAGAUUGGCCAAUUUUUAUCUUCACGAAUAAAUUCAGCUUGGAAUACAGUCCCUCAUAAAAAAUUAAUUCAUAACUAUUUAAUGUCUAAUAGAAAUUAGCUGCAUCUUUCCGACUUUGAGGACCCUUUCAAAAGCAGCAAUACCUAUAUAUUCUAAAUUUGAAAAUAUUUAGUUAUUGAAUAAAUAAAAGAUAUGUUAACUUUGCUAUUUAAA
Molecule: RNA transcript, 8143 nt
Organism: Drosophila ananassae
Lineage: Eukaryota; Metazoa; Arthropoda; Insecta; Diptera; Drosophilidae
Gene name: B-cell receptor CD22
Exons: 28
Source: RefSeq, a predicted model, not a curated record